UUUGCUAUAUACAUAUUAACGAGAAAAGAAACCAACAGGGAUUGCCUCAGUAACGGCGAGUGAAGCGGCAAAAGCUCAAAUUUGAAAUCUAGCACCUUCGGUGUUUGAGUUGUAAUUUGAAGAUGGUAACCUUGGGUUUGGCUCUUGUCUAUGUUCCUUGGAACAGGACGUCAUAGAGGGUGAGAAUCCCGUCUGAUGAGAUGCCCAUUCCUAUGUAAGGUGCUAUCGAAGAGUCGAGUUGUUUGGGAAUGCAGCUCUAAGUGGGUGGUAAAUUCCAUCUAAAGCUAAAUAUUGGCGAGAGACCGAUAGCGAACAAGUACAGUGAUGGAAAGAUGAAAAGAACUUUGAAAAGAGAGUGAAAAAGUACGUGAAAUUGUUGAAAGGGAAGGGCAUUAGAUCAGACUUGGUGUUUUACGAUUAUCUUCUCUUCUUGAGUUGUGCACUCGUAUUUCACUGGGCCAGCAUCGAUUCGGAUGGCAAGAUAAUGGCAGUUGAAUGUGGCUUCACUUCGGUGGAGUGUUAUAGCUUCUGCUGAUAUUGCCUGUCUGGAUCGAGGGCUGCGUCUUUUGACUAGGAUGCUGGCGUAAUGAUCUAAUGCCCUGAGUG
RNAcentral lists this ribosomal RNA (606 nucleotides) under Hansenula anomala. RNAcentral's name for it is "eukaryotic LSU rRNA". It matches the Rfam family "Eukaryotic large subunit ribosomal RNA", at positions 24 to 653 of the family's 3401-position model. The record is from RNAcentral. Lineage: Eukaryota; Fungi; Ascomycota; Saccharomycetes; Phaffomycetales; Wickerhamomycetaceae.